This 451-nucleotide ribosomal RNA is filed under the name uncultured bacterium. RNAcentral's name for it is "bacterial SSU rRNA". It matches the Rfam family "Bacterial small subunit ribosomal RNA", at positions 29 to 474 of the family's 1533-position model. The record is from RNAcentral.
AUUGAACGCUGGCGGCAUGCCUUACACAUGCAAGUCGAACGGCAGCACGGGGGCAACCCUGGUGGCGAGUGGCGAACGGGUGAGUAAUACAUCGGAACGUGUCCUGUAGUGGGGGAUAGCCCGGCGAAAGCCGGAUUAAUACCGCAUACGCUCUACGGAGGAAAGGGGGGGAUCUUAGGACCUCCCGCUACAGGGGCGGCCGAUGGCAGAUUAGCUAGUUGGUGGGGUAAAGGCCUACCAAGGCGACGAUCUGUAGCUGGUCUGAGAGGACGACCAGCCACACUGGGACUGAGACACGGCCCAGACUCCUACGGGAGGCAGCAGUGGGGAAUUUUGGACAAUGGGCGAAAGCCUGAUCCAGCAAUGCCGCGUGUGUGAAGAAGGCCUUCGGGUCGUAAAGCACUUUUGUCCGGAAAGAAAACCUCCGCCCUAAUAUGGUGGGGGGAUGACG